Molecule: ribosomal RNA, 531 nt
Filed under: uncultured bacterium
Lineage: Bacteria
Description: bacterial SSU rRNA
Rfam family: Bacterial small subunit ribosomal RNA
Source: RNAcentral
AGUAAAUAGAUACCCAGGUAGUCCAUGCUGUAAACGAUGGAUGCUAGCUGUGAUGCGUAUCGACCCGCGUCGUAGCGAAGCUAACGCGUUAAGCAUCCCGCCUGUGGAGUACGGCCGCAAGGCUAAAACAUAAAGGAAUUGACGGGGACCCGCACAAGCGGUGGAGCGUGUUGUUUAAUUCGAUGGUAAGCGAAGAACCUUACCCAGGUUUGACAUCCUUGGAAGUUCUGCGAAAGCAGAGUGUGCCUUCGGGAACCAAGUGACAGGUGAUGCAUGGCCGUCUUCAGCUCGUGUCGUGAGACGUUAGGUUAAGUCCUUCAACGAGCGCAACCCUUAUAGUUAGUUGUAUUUUCUAGCUAGACUGCCCUGGUAACAGGGAGGAAGGAGGGGACGAUGUCAGGUCAGUAUCUCCCUUAUAUCUGGGGCUACAAACACGCUACAAUGGCCGGUACAAAGGGAAGCCAACCCGCGAGGGGAGCAAAUCCCAUCAAAGCCGGUCUCAGUUCGGAUUGUAGGCUGAAACUCGCCUGC